CCCUCUCCAGGGCAGGACACAGAGCAGGGUUCUGCCAGCAGCAAGGCAGUGGGUGUGCUAGGACUCCAUCCCAUCACGCUGACAGCUCUGCCUCAUUGUUUCCCCCUGCAGCCAUCUGCUUCUUGUGCCUUAUUCUGAGAUGGCAGAGCUGCUGUGAAGCAGCCCACCACCUCCCCUCAUGCUCACACAGCACCUACCAGCAGCACGGGAUGCUGCGUCCCGAGCAGGGACCCAAAGUGUUACAGUAGAAUAAGUCACAACACAUGGAACUAAAGCUGUUUACAGAACAUGGUGUUGCUGGAGCUUCCCAGAUAUACUGCUGACAAAAUAAUAUCACAUUUCAUCACAAUUUCCCUGAUGUGUGUCAACAGCAGAGGAGCCCUCUUCAACCAGUGCAGCUGAAAGCAACAUGUAUCAAAGUUGUAGGUCUUUCUGCUGAGGAGAAACAAGGUAGAGGCAAAAACUGCAAUCAAGAUCUGCCAAGAUUCAGCAUUCACAUGGUGUUAAUUAUGUCACCAAAGCACUGAACAGCUAACCAUGCCAGAAGUAUCCUGAUUUAUGCAGUCAUCUGCAAUUAUCCAAACAUGUCCGAGCUGGAGAAUAUACAGAAAUGAAGGCAGACUCAGAAAACACAGACUGGAGACUGAACACGGCCACCUUGAUGGCUGCUACCAAGUAAAUCAAGUGAGAUUGCUAUGGC
Long non-coding RNA from Passer domesticus (house sparrow), 700 nucleotides. RefSeq lists it as uncharacterized. Lineage: Eukaryota; Metazoa; Chordata; Aves; Passeriformes; Passeridae. The transcript is spliced from 3 exons. The record is from RefSeq and is a predicted model, not a curated record.